Molecule: long non-coding RNA, 1668 nt
Organism: Equus caballus (horse)
Lineage: Eukaryota; Metazoa; Chordata; Mammalia; Perissodactyla; Equidae
Source: RefSeq, a predicted model, not a curated record
GGGUGCAAAGGGGAGGGAGGAGGAGGAGGAGGAAAGGAAAUUAAUGGUUAUCAGAGCUCUUCUUGGGGGCCAGUUCAGACCCCAGGGGCCUCACCCCUGUACUUUGCCAUGGGGCCUCUUGCGUCCAUAGCUUUUGCCAAUAUAGGUCAGACACAGGGUCACACAGUGGUGCAAUCCUACAAAAUACAAUUCUAAAGCUGCCUUUAAAAAUUGUUUUAAAUAUUAUGGAUACGAGGAAAUGCUUACAAUAUUAACUGAAAAAAUCAGGUUAUAUGAUGCAAUUUUGUAGAGAAAAACAUGGAAAGGCACCCACACAGAAGUCCAGAGAUCACUUGCCCUCCAAGCAGAGCUGGCCCCUCCCUUGUCAGGGCUUCUGAGGCCCUCACAUCCCAGUACAGCCCCUCAUCCUCUGAUGUCCCUGGAGGUCACGUGUCUGGUCCUCCGCCAGACUCAGCUUCUUGAGCCUUCCAAUUAACACAGCACUGGCACAGGUGGGCAUUUGAUAAGUGUUUGCAAAUGAGAAGUGGAUAAAUGAUGGAAAGAAGGAAGGAAGGAGGGAAGAAAGGAAGGAAGGGGUGAGUUCAGAGGGAAAUACACCAAAAUGUUAAGGGUUAUUAUCAUCUGGAUAAUUUAUUUUAUCUUUAUAAUUAUCUGUCUUCCAAAAUUACAUGAAUGAAUCACUUUUAUAAUAAAUCCACUUCUUAUCAAAAUUCUGCUAUUUAAAUCAAUCUGAACUGUUUUCUCAUAACUUCAAGUCCUGUUUUUAACUAGAAAAUCCAGAAGACACUGAACUAGAUCGUGUCCACCACAGCAGCCACAUCUUUAAAGCCAGUACUGGGACAAUCUAACAGGUUCCCAAAUGCUCAUAAAAGAAAUGGAACCGAAUACUUGGAAUCACGGUGCUUCACAAAUCUGAGCAAGACCCCCACAUGUAAGGAACAGGCACCCCACAUCUAAGGAAGAAGGCAGCAUUGCAGGGUGUGUGGGAUCUGUUUCACCCAAAGCUGGCCCCUCUGAAAUGCCCUCAUAAGGAUGGAAAGAGGGAAAUGUGGAAGGAGACAGACACCCUAUCCAGGUCCGAUAUUCCUUCCAGCCCAACCUUGCUUCCCCGAGGCUGAACUCAUUCUGCUUCUAAGAUAUGACUCUUGUCUUCCCCGACGAGGAGCUGGAUAUUCCAGAACGUUUCCAGUAAUUAUUUUCCAUGGAUAGUGAUUCCAAGUCAAGAGAGAAAAGAACACCAAGGCUCACCAAGGCCUUGAGAGAAUCGGGAGGGAGAGCGAGAGCAUCAGAAAACCGGGGCUGAGGCCAAGGCCAGUUCAAACAACAAUGGUCUUAAAGUCUUAUAAUGUGAGAAACGGAAUCACUGCAAAGAAAAACAAAGCGAUCUCAGCACAGUGGCAAUCUCCAAGCACGGCUGUCGACUUCAUCUUUGAUAAGAAAAAAGAGGAGACGUGGAAAAUUCCCCCGGAACCCGACCCCAGUUGGGCAAGGGGUCCAUUCUAACCUCACAGGCACCCAGAGCAGGCUCCUCAUUGCGUGUGUGCGCUUGCUUCUCUGCCCACCCUUGGUUCUAAUGUACGCCACUGCUGAUGUGAUCAGAACUAAAACUGAGACCAAAUACACUACUUUCCUCAAAUAAAAAAAAUAAAAGUAAAGCCAGAGUCAGGA